UACGGGGGGGGCAAGCGUUGUUCGGAAUUACUGGGCGUAAAGGGCUCGUAGGUGGCCAACUAAGUCGGACGUGAAAUCCCUCGGCUUAACCGGGGAACUGCAUCCGAUACUGGAUGGCUUGAGUUUGGGAGAGGGAUGCGGAAUUCCAGGUGUAGCGGUGAAAUGCGUAGAUAUCUGGAGGAAUACCGGUGGCGAAGGCGGCAUCCUGGACCGACAUUGACGCUGAACGGCGAAAGCUAGGGGAGCAAACGGG
RNAcentral lists this ribosomal RNA (253 nucleotides) under uncultured bacterium. RNAcentral's name for it is "partial 16S ribosomal RNA". It matches the Rfam family "Bacterial small subunit ribosomal RNA", at positions 524 to 776 of the family's 1533-position model. The record is from RNAcentral.